RNAcentral lists this signal recognition particle RNA (298 nucleotides) under Aotus nancymaae (Ma's night monkey). Its description in RNAcentral is "Metazoan signal recognition particle RNA (ENSANAG00000007033.1)". It matches the Rfam family "Metazoan signal recognition particle RNA". From Rfam's summary of the family: The signal recognition particle (SRP) is a universally conserved ribonucleoprotein. It is involved in the co-translational targeting of proteins to membranes. Lineage: Eukaryota; Metazoa; Chordata; Mammalia; Primates; Aotidae. The record is from RNAcentral.
GCUGGGCGCGGUGGCGCAUGCCUGUAGUCCCAGCUACUGCGGAGGCUGAGGUGGGAGGAUCGCUUGAGCCCAGGAGUUCUGGGCUGUAGUGCGCUAUGCCGAUUGGGUGUCCGCACUAAAUUCGGCAUCAAUAUGGUGACCUCCCGGGAGCGGGGACCACCAGGUUGCCUAAGGAGGGGUAAACCGGCCCAGAUCGGAAACGGAGAGGGUCAAAACUCCCAGGCUGAUCAGUAGUGGGAUCAUGCCUGUGAAUAGCCACUGCACUCCAGCCUGGGCAACGUAGCAAGACCCCAUCUCU